GCUGCUGAAAGGAAGGACUAUGG
RNAcentral lists this non-coding RNA (23 nucleotides) under Cricetulus griseus (Chinese hamster). Lineage: Eukaryota; Metazoa; Chordata; Mammalia; Rodentia; Cricetidae. The record is from RNAcentral.